AAGAUAAAUUUGGUAGCAACUCUCAGAAAAACAAAAUCUCUGUUUAGGUGCUGAUAAAUAGAGAUCAUCUGAAAAAGCCAAACAAUUACAAGCAAGUCUUGCAACAACUACAUGGUACAAAAACAGUUCCGUGCAUCAGAUAUCUAAAAUUCAUAAUAGUAACAAAAGAUUACCCUUGUCUGUUCUGUAGAGAAAUUCAGUAACAGUGACGGAGAUGUAACUUUUAAUUAUCGGCAACUUUCACCAUCAAGCCACUUUAGUGAUGGUAAUAGCUUAAUUAGAAGUGAUUGUAUCUUUUCAUCGGAAACUGCAUUUCCUUUAAGAUCUAAUUGUAUCAAGUUCAAGUCUUUAAAAAUAGCAUAGGCUUCCCAAUUAUCAGCCACCUCAACGCAAUGGAUCUCAGAUUCCUCAGUUUUCCAGUCACCUCCACUUCUAUGGUUAAGAGGGGAAGAGCACAAAUACCUCCUCGUGUCAAUAGAAUGCGCUCCAAUCUCGUUGUAAGAGAUAUCUAAGACUUUCAGUGACCUUAGCAGUUUCAAAGGCUCCAAUGCAGUAAAACUGCAGAGUUUAUUGUAGCUAACAUUCAAGCAGGAGAGAAGUUGCAUCACCUCCAAGCCUUCAAGUGUCUUAAGUUGGUUGUGGCUGAGAUCUAAUACUUGGACCCACAAAAGUUG
This 674-nucleotide unclassified non-coding RNA is filed under the name Hevea brasiliensis (rubber tree). Lineage: Eukaryota; Viridiplantae; Streptophyta; Magnoliopsida; Malpighiales; Euphorbiaceae. The record is from RNAcentral.